This 372-nucleotide transfer RNA is filed under the name Phyllonema ansata C58-M5. Its description in RNAcentral is "partial 16S-23S ribosomal RNA intergenic spacer". The stretch from base 120 to 193 matches the Rfam family "tRNA". Lineage: Bacteria; Bacillati; Cyanobacteriota; Cyanophyceae; Nostocales; Rivulariaceae. The record is from RNAcentral.
GACCUACCCAAAUCGAACCGAAAGCCCACAAAGGUAAUUAGGUAAGAGAUGGUCACUCAAGGUCGGACACGGAAUGUAGAGAGAAAACUUUCAAACUAUAAAAUUGGGUUCACUGAUAAGGGCUAUUAGCUCAGGUGGUUAGAGCGCACCCCUGAUAAGGGUGAGGUCCCUGGUUCGAGUCCAGGAUGGCCCAUCUAACACACAGAGUGAAGGCUCGAUGUGGAGAGAAAUGGAAUUCAGCACCGAAACAGUGAAUAACUGUGCGAAUGCUGGAUACUCCAGCCAGAACCUUGAAAACUGCAUAUUCACGCAAAAUAGCAGGCAGUUGACACUGAGAAAUCAGUGAAAAUUGCACAGACACUAAUGAUGAGU